CGCGGGAAGAGGAAGGGAGCGUAACUCUUAGAAGUCACUAUGGUGACGGGGAGGUCGGGAGGCUUCUUGGUAACUGGUACCAGGUGUUUGAGAGCAAUCGCCACCGCUUUCCUGGAACUUGAGUAAAUACAAUCAAGUGGCAUCUUAAAUUUUUGCUGGAAGUGGAGUCAUGAGACUAAAGAUAUCUCUUUUAAAAGAACCAAAGCAUCAAGAAUUAGUAAGCUGUGUGGGCUGGACUACUGCUGAAGAGCUGUAUUCAUGUAGUGAUGAUCACCAGAUAGUGAAGUGGAACUUGUUAACCAGUGAAACAACUCAAAUAGUAAAGCUUCCUGAUGAUAUUUACCCUAUUGAUUUUCACUGGUUUCCAAAAAGUUUGGGUGUAAAGAAACAAACCCAGGCAGAAAGCUUUGUCCUCACAAGUUCUGAUGGUAAAUUUCAUCUGAUUUCCAAGUUAGGAAGAGUGGAAAAAAGUGUAGAAGCUCACUGUGGAGCAGUACUUGCAGGAAGAUGGAAUUAUGAAGGAACAGCAUUAGUUACAGUUGGAGAAGAUGGACAAAUAAAAAUUUGGUCAAAGACUGGGAUGCUUAGAUCAACUUUAGCUCAGCAAGAAGUGACCAUCUUGUUGCAGGAAAACAAGUUCAGGGCUCCCACUGAUUCUAUGUUAUGGUGAGUUGUAUAAUUAUUUCAUUAUAUAUUACAAUGUAAUAAUAGAAAUAAAGUACACAAUAAAUGUAAUACCCUUGAAUUAUCCUGAACCACCCCCACCUGGUCCAUGGAAAAAUUGUCUUC
Molecule: small RNA, 789 nt
Filed under: Pongo abelii (Sumatran orangutan)
Lineage: Eukaryota; Metazoa; Chordata; Mammalia; Primates; Hominidae
Description: processed transcript
Source: RNAcentral